GUUUUCAACUCUUCCAGCCUACUCUCUCAAACAAAAUACCCUAAUCGCUUCACUUAAUCAUUUUCAUUUGGAAAAAUCUAGUGAAAAUUGUUGGCUUCAUCCAAUCUUUAGUGUAAAAUCUCCAAUAACCAUAACCUACUGAACCUUAAAUCAAAGCCCCAAACCUUUGAGAGGUAAAUUAGUGAAGCACUCUUAGUAAUUGGUGGAACAUUCUUCCAAAUCCCUGAAGAGAAUAGAUCCCUAUUGAGGAAUCCUCCAGAGCGAGUCUUGCCCUGCCCUUGUCGGUUGGUAAUUGAUGAGUAUGAUGAACAAUCUGAGGUAGCUGAACGACUAAGAAUAAAGGUAAGUUUUUGCCUUUGGUUUAUUAUUUUAAAUAAUUGUGUGCUGAUGGCAUGGCUUAUAUACAUUAUGAAUCUCAAAUUCUU
Long non-coding RNA from Pistacia vera, 425 nucleotides. RefSeq lists it as uncharacterized. The transcript has 3 exons. The record is from RefSeq and is a predicted model, not a curated record. Lineage: Eukaryota; Viridiplantae; Streptophyta; Magnoliopsida; Sapindales; Anacardiaceae.